Molecule: ribosomal RNA, 301 nt
Filed under: uncultured bacterium
Lineage: Bacteria
Description: partial 16S ribosomal RNA
Rfam family: Bacterial small subunit ribosomal RNA
Source: RNAcentral
CAGCCGCCACGGUAAUACGAAGGUCCCGAGCGUUGUUCGGAAUCACUGGGCGUAAAGGGAGCGUAGGCGGCGUGGUAAGUCAGAUGUGAAAUCCCGGGGCUCAACCCCGGAACUGCAUCCGAUACUGCCAUGCUAGAGGAUUGGAGAGGUAGCUGGAAUUCUUGGUGUAGCAGUGAAAUGCGUGGAGAUCAAGAGGAACACUCGUGGCGAAAGCGAGCUACUGGACAAUAACUGACGCUGAGGCUCGAAGGCCAGGGUAGCGAAAGGGAUUAGAUACCCCUGUAGUCCCUGUCUCUUAUAC